Molecule: ribosomal RNA, 464 nt
Filed under: uncultured bacterium
Lineage: Bacteria
Description: partial 16S ribosomal RNA
Rfam family: Bacterial small subunit ribosomal RNA
Source: RNAcentral
CCUACGGGGGGCUGCAGUAGGGAAUUUUCGGCAAUGGGGGGAACCCUGACCGAGCAACGCCGCGUGAGGGAGGAAGUAUUUCGGUAUGUAAACCUCUGUUAUAAAGGAAGUACGGUGCAUGUAGGGAAUGACAUGCAAGUGACGGUACUUUAUGAGGAAGCCACGGCUAACUACGUGCCAGCCGCCGCGGUAAUACGUAGGUGGCGUGCGUUAUCUGGAUUUAUUGGGCGAAAAGCGGGAGCAGGGGGCAGCUAAGGUUUGCGGUGAAAGCCCGAAGUUAAACUUCGGUAAGCAGUGGAAACCGAGCAGCUAGAGUGCAGUAGAGGAACGUGGAAGUCCAGGUGUAGCGGUGAAAUGCGUAGAUAUAUGGAAGAACACCAGUGGCGAAGGCGACUAUCUGGGCUGCAACUGACGCUCAGUCCCGAAAGCGUGGGGAGCAAAUAGGAUUAGAUACCCCAGUAGUC